AAUAUGGCACAAUGGGCGAAAGCCUGAUGCAGCAACGCCGAGAGAGUGAUGAAGGCCUUAGGGUANUAAAGCUCUUUGAUCAGGGANAAUAAUGACAGUACCUGAAAAACAAGCCACGGCUAACUACGUUCCAUCAGCCGCGGUAAUACGCAGGUGGCGAGCGUUGUCCGGAAUUACUGGGCGUAAAGGAUGCGUAGGUGGAUACUUAAGUGGGAUGUGAAAUCCCCGGGCUCAACCCGGGAACUGCAUUCCAAACUGGGUAUCUAGAGUGCAGGAGAGGAAAGCGGAAUUCCUAGUGUAGCGGUGAAAUGCGUAGAUAUUAGGAGGAACACCAGUGGCGAAGGCGGCUUUCUGGACUGUAACUGACACUGAGGCAUGAAAGCGUGGGUAGCAAACAGG
RNAcentral lists this ribosomal RNA (399 nucleotides) under uncultured bacterium. RNAcentral describes it as "partial 16S ribosomal RNA". It matches the Rfam family "Bacterial small subunit ribosomal RNA", at positions 360 to 776 of the family's 1533-position model. The record is from RNAcentral.